GCUGGCGGCGUUGCUUAACACAUGUCAAGUCGAACGGAAACAGAAAGAAGCUUGCUUCUUUGCUGUCGAGUGGCGCACGGGUGAGUAAUGUAUAGUUAACCUGCCCCUUAGAGAGGGAUAGCCACUGGAAACGGUGAUUAAUACCUCAUACUCCUAUAUGCGUAAGGUAUAUAGGGAAAUGUCUUUUCGCUAAGGGAUGAGACUAUAUGGCAUCAGGUAGUUGGUGGGGUAAUGGCCCACCAAGCCAAUGACGCCUAGCUGGUCUGAGAGGAUGAUCAGCCACACUGGUACUGAGACACGGACCAGACUCCUACGGGAGGCAGCAGUGGGGAAUAUUGCACAAUGGAGGAAACUCUGAUGCAGCAACGCCGCGUGGAGGAUGACGCAUUUCGGUGUGUAAACUCCUUUUAUAUGGGAAGAUAAUGACGGUACCAUAUGAAUAAGCACCGGCUAACUCCGUGCCAGCAGCCGCGGUAAUACGGAGGGUGCAAGCGUUACUCGGAAUCACUGGGCGUAAAGCGCGCGCAGGCGGCUCGAUAAGUUGGAUGUGAAAUCCUAUGGCUUAACCAUAGAACUGCAUCCAAAACUGUCAAGCUAGAGUCUGGGAGAGGAAGAUGGAAUUAGUUGUGUAGGGGUAAAAUCCGUAGAGAUAACUAGGAAUACCAAAAGCGAAGGCGAUCUUCUGGAACAGUACUGACGCUGAGGCGCGAAAGCGUGGGGAGCAAACAGGAUUAGAUACCCUGGUAGUCCACGCCCUAAACGAUGAAUGUUAGUCGUUGGAGCUCUAGUAGCUUCAGUGAUGCAGCUAACGCAUUAAACAUUCCGCCUGGGGAGUACGGUCGCAAGAUUAAAACUCAAAGGAAUAGACGGGGACCCGCACAAGUGGUGGAGCAUGUGGUUUAAUUCGAAGAUACGCGAAGAACCUUACCUAGCCUUGACAUAUAUUAGAACACUUUAGAAGAUAGAGUGGUGCCUUCGGGAGCUUUUAUACAGGUGCUGCACGGCUGUCGUCAGCUCGUGUCGUGAGAUGUUGGGUUAAGUCCCGCAACGAGCGCAACCUCGUCACUAGUUACUAACGGUUCGGC
Molecule: ribosomal RNA, 1085 nt
Filed under: uncultured Campylobacterota bacterium
Lineage: Bacteria; Pseudomonadati; Campylobacterota
Description: bacterial SSU rRNA
Rfam family: Bacterial small subunit ribosomal RNA
Source: RNAcentral